RNAcentral lists this ribosomal RNA (253 nucleotides) under uncultured bacterium. RNAcentral's name for it is "partial 16S ribosomal RNA". It matches the Rfam family "Bacterial small subunit ribosomal RNA", at positions 524 to 776 of the family's 1533-position model. The record is from RNAcentral.
UACGUAGGAGGCAAGCGUUGUCCGGAAUUACUGGGCGUAAAGCGCGUGUAGGUGGUGGGACAAGUCUGCUGUGAAAGCGCCUGGCUUAACCGGGCGAGGUCGGCGGAAACUGUCCGACUCGAGGACGGUAGAGGGGGGUGGAAUUCCCGGUGUAGUGGUGAAAUGCGUAGAGAUCGGGAGGAACACCUGUGGCGAAGGCGGCCUCCUGGGCCGGCCCUGACACUGAGACGCGAAGGCGUGGGGAGCGAACGGG